GUGAGGAAUAUUGGUCAAUGGCCGAGAGGCUGAACCAGCCAAGUCGCGUGAGGGAAGACGGCCCUACGGGUUGUAAACCUCUUUUGUCGGGGAGCAAAGCGAGUCACGUGUGACUCAUUGAGAGUACCCGAAGAAAAAGCAUCGGCUAACUCCGUGCCAGCAGCCGCGGUAAUACGGAGGAUGCGAGCGUUAUCCGGAUUUAUUGGGUUUAAAGGGUGCGCAGGCGGAGGUGCAAGUCAGCGGUCAAAUUGCGGGGCUCAACCCCGUACUGCCGUUGAAACUGCAUCCCUUGAGUGCGCGAGAAGUAUGCGGAAUGCGUGGUGUAGCGGUGAAAUGCAUAGAUAUCACGCAGAACUCCGAUUGCGAAGGCAGCAUACCGGCGCGCAACUGACGCUCAUGCACGAAAGCGUGGGUAUCGAACAGG
This 424-nucleotide ribosomal RNA is filed under the name uncultured bacterium. RNAcentral describes it as "bacterial SSU rRNA". It matches the Rfam family "Bacterial small subunit ribosomal RNA", at positions 354 to 776 of the family's 1533-position model. The record is from RNAcentral.